This 87-nucleotide small RNA is filed under the name Arabidopsis thaliana (thale cress). RNAcentral describes it as "ATSL270610". Lineage: Eukaryota; Viridiplantae; Streptophyta; Magnoliopsida; Brassicales; Brassicaceae. The record is from RNAcentral.
GCCAGAAGAAGCUUGGUUAGUGUUUUGGAGUCAAAUAUGACUAGAUGUCAUGUGUAUGAUUAAGUAUAAGAACUUAAACCACAACUA